CCUACGGGCGGCAGCAGUGGGGGAUAUUGCACAAUGGGGGGAACCCUGAUGCAGCGACGCCGCGUGGGUGAAGAAGCGCCUCGGCGCGUAAAGCCCUGUCAGCAGGGAAGAAAAUGACGGUACCUGAAGAAGAAGCCCCGGCUAACUACGAUCCAGCAGCCGAGGUAAUACGUAGGGGGCAAGCGGUAUCCGGAUGUACUGGGUGUAAUGGGGGCGCAGACGGCGCUGCAAGCCAGGAGUGAAAGGCCGGGGCCCAACCCCGGGACUGCUCUUGGAACUGCGUGGCUUGAGUGCAGGAGUGGCAGGCGGAAUUCCUGGUGUAGCGGUGAAAUGCGUAGAGAUCAGGAGGAACACCGGUGGCGAAGGCGGCCUGCUGGACUGCAACUGACGUUGAGGCCCGAAAGCGUGGGGAGCAAACAGGAUUAGAUACCCGAGUAGUC
Molecule: ribosomal RNA, 440 nt
Filed under: uncultured bacterium
Lineage: Bacteria
Description: partial 16S ribosomal RNA
Rfam family: Bacterial small subunit ribosomal RNA
Source: RNAcentral